This 304-nucleotide ribosomal RNA is filed under the name uncultured Magnaporthe. RNAcentral describes it as "partial large subunit ribosomal RNA". It matches the Rfam family "Eukaryotic large subunit ribosomal RNA", at positions 40 to 350 of the family's 3401-position model. Lineage: Eukaryota; Fungi; Ascomycota; Sordariomycetes; Magnaporthales; Magnaporthaceae. The record is from RNAcentral.
AUAUCAGUAAGCGGAGGAAAAGAAACCAACAGGGAUUGCCCUAGUAACGGCGAGUGAAGCGGCAACAGCUCAAAUUUGAAAUCUGCCUCGGCCCGAGUUGUAAUUUGCAGAGGAAGCUUCUGGCGCGGCGCCUUCCGAGUCCCCUGGAAUGGGGCGCCAUAGAGGGUGAGAGCCCCGUAUGGUCGGCUGCCUAGCCUGUGUGAAGCUCCUUCGACGAGUCGAGUAGUUUGGGAAUGCUGCUCAAAGCGGGUGGUAAAUUCCAUCUAAAGCUAAAUAUUGGCCAGAGACCGAUAGCGCACAAGUA